RNAcentral lists this non-coding RNA (1000 nucleotides) under Etmopterus cf. fusus GN17206. Its description in RNAcentral is "12S ribosomal RNA". It matches the Rfam family "Bacterial small subunit ribosomal RNA". Lineage: Eukaryota; Metazoa; Chordata; Chondrichthyes; Squaliformes; Etmopteridae. The record is from RNAcentral.
GGUCCUGGCCUUAGUAUUAAUUGUAACUAGAAUUAUACAUGCAAGUUUCAGCACCCCUGUGAGAAUGCCCUCAUCAACCUAUCAGUUGAUGAGGGGCAGGUAUCAGGCACACGCACGUUAGCCCAAGACACCUUGUCAAGCCACACCCCCAAGGGAUUUCAGCAGUAAUAAAUAUUGACCUAUAAGCGCAAGCUUGAGUCAGUUAGAGUUAACUGGGUUGGUAAAUCUCGUGCCAGCCACCGCGGUUAUACGAGUAACCCUUAUUAAUACUUACCCGGCGUAAAGAGUGGUUUAAGGAGAAAUCUUUAAAUAAUUAAAGUUAAGACCCCAUUAAGCUGUUAUACGCUCUUAUGGGUGGAAUUAUCAACAACGAAAGUAACUUUAUUACACUAGACUUCUUGAUGCCACGAUAGUUGGGCCCCAAACUAGGAUUAGAUACCCUACUAUGCCCAACCACAAACUUAGAUAAUAGUCUACCAUAUUAUUCGCCAGAACACUACAAGCGCUAGCUUAAAAUCCAAAGGACUUGGCGGUACUCCAGACCCCCCUAGAGGAGCCUGUUCUAUAACCGAUAAUCCCCGUUAAACCUCACCACUCCUUGCCAACUCCGCCUAUAUACCGCCGUCGUCAGCUCACCCUGUGAAGGAUAAAAAGUAAGCAAAAAGAAUUACCUCCCACACGUCAGGUCAAGGUGUAGCGAAUGAAGUGGAAAGAAAUGGGCUACAUUUUCUAUUAAGAUAACAACGAACAGUAAACUGAAACAUCUACUUAAAGGUGGAUUUAGCAGUAAGGAAAAAUCAGAGCGUUUUCCUGAAGCCGGCUCUGAAGUGCGCACACACCGCCCGUCACUCUCCUCGACAAAACCCUUACAUUAUAUAAAAAUUUAAUUUAUUUAAAGAGGAGGCAAGUCGUAACAUGGUAAGUGUACUGGAAAGUGCACUUGGAAUACAUUAAAGCUAGCCUAAUUAAUUGUAUAAACAUGACCUCAUUAAUUAUACUA